GAUGAACGCUGGCGGCGUGCCUAAUACAUGCAAGUCGAGCGAACAGACGAGGAGCUUGCUCCUCUGACGUUAGCGGCGGACGGGUGAGUAACACGUGGAUAACCUACCUAUAAGACUGGGAUAAAUUCGGGAAACCGGAGCUAAUACCGGAUAAUAUAUUGAACCGCAUGGUUCAAUAGUGAAAGACGGUUUUGCUGUCACUUAUAGAUGGAUCCGCGCCGCAUUAGCUAGUUGGUAAGGUAACGGCUUACCAAGGCAACGAUGCGUAGCCGACCUGAGAGGGAGAUCGCCCACACUGGCACUGAGACACGGUCCAGACUCCUACAGGAAGCAGCAGUAGGGAAUCUUCCGCAAUGGGCGAAAGCCUGACGGAGCAACGCCGCGUGAGUGAUGAAGGUCUUCGGAUCGUAAAACUCUGUUAUUAGGGAAGAACAAAUGUGUAAGUAACUAUGCACGUCUUGACGGUACCUAAUCAGAAAGCCACGGCUAACUACGUG
This 497-nucleotide ribosomal RNA is filed under the name uncultured bacterium. RNAcentral's name for it is "partial 16S ribosomal RNA". It matches the Rfam family "Bacterial small subunit ribosomal RNA", at positions 28 to 507 of the family's 1533-position model. The record is from RNAcentral.